GUUUUCAGAGGUCUGAAUAAGGGUCUAGGACACCCCAAGAAUGCAGGAUUUUGCACCAUUUUAAAAAAAAAUCCUGGGGCCCUUGAGCGGGCCCCAGACCCCCCGCCGUAGUAGCGACGAGCAAGCUCGUCGACGCGAACGGCUUCGCCGUCCGCAUGUACUUGCCGCCUAUUUUAGAAAUUCAGCCUGCUUCUUCAAAACUUAGUGACAUCACUGAUUACAUGUAAUUCCUAAUUUCACCUAUUUACAUAGAUGCCAACCCCCUUUUGACACAAUCAGUAACAAACUAUCAAAUUUUCCGUAUUUUUGGAAAGUUUUCAGUAAUCAUUCAUAAACGUGCAUUUACCAAUAAAAAUUACUGACGAGUGGUUGCAAAGUGAUGUACACUAAAAUUUGUCAUUUAACAUGUUGUCUGUAGUAUGUAUUCCAUUCAUUGAUUGUUCAGAUGUUCUCGACUCAAACAUUUUUGUUUUGUCAAGGAGAAGUAGAGAAAGGGGGAAAGCUACUUAAUAAAAUGCAAGUUUGCCUCUUCGGAAGUCAGUUAGUUACCCAACAAUAGGUUGAUAACUCCCGAGAAACUGGAAGCAUUACAUUGGCGUUUCCUAAAUACUGGACCAGGACGGAAAAGUAAUGAUAAAAAUCCGCGUUUUACAAAAUUGAACGUCGAUGAUUGGGAAUCCGUAACUAUUCGACUUUGACCGUAAUAGCGUAGUUUUUAUCGCAAAAUCGGAAAAACUACGGAAAAAUCGUAAUGGUUGGCAUCUAUGUAUUUACUGUA
RNAcentral lists this long non-coding RNA (778 nucleotides) under Mytilus galloprovincialis (Mediterranean mussel). The record is from RNAcentral. Lineage: Eukaryota; Metazoa; Mollusca; Bivalvia; Mytilida; Mytilidae.